This 853-nucleotide ribosomal RNA is filed under the name uncultured bacterium. Its description in RNAcentral is "bacterial SSU rRNA". It matches the Rfam family "Bacterial small subunit ribosomal RNA", at positions 28 to 896 of the family's 1533-position model. The record is from RNAcentral.
GACGAACGCUGGCGGCGUGCUUAACACAUGCAAGUCGAGCGAUGAGAUCACUUCGGUGAAGGAUUAGCGGCGAACGGGUGAGGAACACGUGAAGAAUCUGCCUUCAACUCUGGGAUAACUCCGGGAAACCGGGGCUAAUACCGGAUAUGAGCCUUGAUCGCAUGAUCGGGGCUGGAAAGUUUUUCGGUUGAAGAUGACUUCGCGGCCUAUCAGCUUGUUGGUGAGGUAAUGGCUCACCAAGGCGACGACGGGUAGCCGGCCUGAGAGGGCGACCGGCCACACUGGGACUGAGACACGGCCCAGACUCCUACGGGAGGCAGCAGUGGGGAAUAUUGGGCAAUGGAGGAAACUCUGACCCAGUGACGCCGCGUGCGGGAUGAAGGCCUUCGGGUUGUAAACCGCUUUCAGCAGGGAAUAAGCGCAAGUGAAGGUACCUGCAGAAGAAGCACCGGCUAACUAUGUGCCAGCAGCCGCGGUAAUACAUAGGGUGCAAGCGUUGUCCGGAAUUAUUGGGCGUAAAGAGCUCGUAGGUGGUUUGUUACGUCGAUCGUGAAAUUCAGGGGCUCAACCCCUGACUUGCGGUCGAUACGGGCAAGCUAGAGUUUGGUAGGGGAGACUGGAAUUCCUGGUGUAGCGGUGGAAUGCGCAGAUAUCAGGAGGAACACCGAUGGCGAAGGCAGGUCUCUGGGCCAAUACUGACACUGAGGAGCGAAAGCGUGGGGAGCGAACAGGAUUAGAUACCCUGGUAGUCCACGCCGUAAACGGUGGGCGCUAGUUGUGCGAACCUUCCACGGUUUGUGCGACGCAGCUAACGCAUUAAGCGCCCCGCCUGGGGAGUACGAUCGCAAGAUUA